AUUGAACGCUGGCGGCAGGCCUAACACAUGCAAGUCGAGCGGAUGAAGGGAGCUUGCUCCUGGAUUCAGCGGCGGACGGGUGAGUAAUGCCUAGGAAUCUGCCUGGUAGUGGGGGAUAACGUCCGGAAACGGGCGCUAAUACCGCAUACGUCCUGAGGGAGAAAGUGGGGGAUCUUCGGACCUCACGCUAUCAGAUGAGCCUAGGUCGGAUUAGCUAGUUGGUGGGGUAAAGGCCUACCAAGGCGACGAUCCGUAACUGGUCUGAGAGGAUGAUCAGUCACACUGGAACUGAGACACGGCCCAGACUCCUACGGGAGGCAGCAGUGGGGAAUAUUGGACAAUGGGCGAAAGCCUGAUCCAGCCAUGCCGCGUGUGUGAAGAAGGUCUUCGGAUUGUAAAGCACUUUAAGCUGGGAGGAAGGGCAGUAAGUUAAUACCUUGCUGUUUUGACGUUACCAACAGAAUAAGCACCGGCUAACUUCGUG
This 484-nucleotide ribosomal RNA is filed under the name uncultured bacterium. RNAcentral's name for it is "partial 16S ribosomal RNA". It matches the Rfam family "Bacterial small subunit ribosomal RNA", at positions 30 to 507 of the family's 1533-position model. The record is from RNAcentral.